AUGGUAGUUAGAGGAUAUUGAGAGAAAAUAGGCUAUAUGAAAAGGAUAGAAAGAUAAGAAUUAUUUUAACACGGUCUGUUUGUAAAGAAUUCCCUCAAUCUCAACUUGUUGUCCUUGACUAUAAAAAUAUUACUUUCCAGGACUCUUCAAGAUGGUGGGGUAGGAGCAGAUCGGGGUUGCAGCAGCUCGGGGUUGUGGCUCUCAGUGAAGGCUCAGAGGGCCAGAGCAGACUAAGACAACCUACCGCUAAUGUUGAAGAAACCCCACAUUAUGACAGGUGAGAAUCAUAAAUUGGACUGGACUGGUAGAGCUCAUAAAAGGCCUUCAGGCCACAUCAGCAAACAAAACUCGCACACAUAGACACACACACAGCUGCCAGGAGUAUCUACGGUAUUUGCUAAAUGAUUUUUGCUUAUUAUUCUAUGUAUACAAUUAGCUCCAUUACCCAGUUAACUCUCCUUCUCUUAUGUUCAUCAGUCAGCUGGAAAAACAACUAUUGCUAGUCCCUCGACUAUAAGAAUAAAACUGCUAAUGGG
This 536-nucleotide long non-coding RNA is filed under the name Callithrix jacchus (white-tufted-ear marmoset). RNAcentral describes it as "lncRNA (ENSCJAG00000083023.1)". The record is from RNAcentral. Lineage: Eukaryota; Metazoa; Chordata; Mammalia; Primates; Cebidae.